CGUAAACCUGGGUGCCUGACUAGAACCAGGCGUCUGACGUAGAAACUGGGCGCCUGACGUACAUCUGGGCACCUAACGUAAACCUGAGCACCUGAUGUAAAACGGUGCCUGACAUAGAAACUGGGUGUUUGACAUACCUGGGCGUCUGAGGUAAAACUGGGUGCCUGAUGUAAACCUGGGGGCCUGACGUAAAACCCGGGUACCUGUCGUAGAACCUGGAUAUCUGAGUAAACCUGGGCGCCUGAAGCAAAGCCGGGCACCGUAUGUAAAACCAUGACACGUAGUGUGUUGCUAGGUACCUGACAUGAACCUGGAACCUGACAGGAGACUGGGGUAAUUGAUGUAAACCUCGGGGCACCAGACAUAAAAGCUGACAUUGUACCUGAAACUGGGCACCUGACAUAAUAAUGGGGCACGAAAUAUACAGCUGGGUGACCUGGUGUAAAACCCAGCACCUAUAUCAAAGAACGCACCUGAUGUAAAACUGAGUACCAAACUGACACCCAGGAACUUAGGGCCUGAUGUGGGAAAAGUCCCUCCUGGGAGAUUCCGGCCCUGGAAAGAGGGCACAGAGACGCCGCCUUCGGGUCUCCCUCCGAGAGAGCCCCAGCCGGCUCUGGCUCCCGAGUGUGUGACAUCAGACGCCCGCCGCUGAGCCGACGCUUCAGGACCAGCAGAGCCUCUGCCGCACAGGCUGGGCGUCCCUGGAGGAGGCUUCCACGCUGGGCACUGGCGGACCCUCAGAAGACAAACCUGUGAGUGAAACAACUGCAUCAGCCACUGCUAAGAUCUCAUCUACAAAACAGAAUCCGUGAUGCUUCAUGCUGAUAUCUCAUCUCUAUACAUGCACAAGUUUUUAUCCAUGUGUCCUUGGUCCCUAUUCUUAUUCAAGAAAGGAGCGCUGUGAGCCUUCGAUUUUUCCUACAGAAAUAAGGAAAUGUGGCACAUUUAUUAUCAACACUUCAUAAGAUGCCUUCACCCAAAUUAAUUUGACAGUAAAUGAUUUUUAAUUACAUAAUGUGAUUACAAGGUUAUGGUUUUAAUCUUCUUUCUUCACCCAAUAAAGCAAAGGUAUGUUUUCACAUACUGCAGAUCAAUUUUCCAUGAAUUUGUUUCUUUAAAAUUUUCAUUUUUCCUUUGUCAACUGUUUUGUUUCCC
Molecule: non-coding RNA, 1158 nt
Organism: Odocoileus virginianus texanus
Lineage: Eukaryota; Metazoa; Chordata; Mammalia; Artiodactyla; Cervidae
Source: RefSeq, a predicted model, not a curated record